RNAcentral lists this ribosomal RNA (497 nucleotides) under uncultured bacterium. Its description in RNAcentral is "partial 16S ribosomal RNA". It matches the Rfam family "Bacterial small subunit ribosomal RNA", at positions 28 to 507 of the family's 1533-position model. The record is from RNAcentral.
GAUGAACGCUGGCGGUGUGCCUAAUACAUGCGAGUCGAGCGAACAGACGAGGAGCUUGCUCCUCUGACGUUAGCGGCGGACGGGUGAGUAACACGUGGAUAACCUACCUAUAAGACUGGGAUAACUUCGGGAAACCGGAGCUAAUACCGGAUAAUAUAUUGAACCGCAUGGUUCAAUAGUGAAAGACGGUUUUGCUGUCACUUAUAGAUGGAUCCGCGCCGCAUUAGCUAGUUGGUAAGGUAACGGCUUACCAAGGCAACGAUGCGUAGCCGACCUGAGAGGGUGAUCGGCCACACUGGAACUGAGACACGGUCCAGACUCCUACGGGAGGCAGCAGUAGGGAAUCUUCCGCAAUGGGCGAAAGCUUGACGGAGCAACGCCGCGUGAGUGAUGAAGGUCUUCGGAUCGUAAAACUCUGUUAUUAGGGAAGAACAAAUGUGUAAGUAACUAUGCACGUCUUGACGGUACCUAAUCAGAAAGCCACGGCUAACUACGUG